This 866-nucleotide ribosomal RNA is filed under the name uncultured bacterium. RNAcentral describes it as "bacterial SSU rRNA". It matches the Rfam family "Bacterial small subunit ribosomal RNA", at positions 136 to 997 of the family's 1533-position model. The record is from RNAcentral.
AACGAGGAUAACCAUUGGAAACAGUGGCUAAGACUGGAUAGGAAGAUAAAAGGCAUCUUGUAUCUUUUAAAAGACCUAGUAAUAGGUAUGCUUUAGGAGGGGCUUGCGCCAUAUUAGUUAGUUGGUAGGGUAAUGGCCUACCAAGACGAUGAUGUGUAGCUGGACUGAGAGGUUGAACAGCCACAUUGGGACUGAGACACGGCCCAAACUCCUACGGGAGGCAGCAGUAGGGAAUUUUCGGCAAUGGAGGAAACUCUGACCGAGCAACGCCGCGUGAAUGACGAAGUACUUCGGUAUGUAAAGUUCUUUUAUCGAGGAAGAAAAGCAAAUGGCGAACCAUUUGUUUGCCGGUACUUGAUGAAUAAGCCCCGGCUAAUUAUGUGCCAGCAGCCGCGGUAAGACAUAAGGGGCAAGUGUUAUCCGGAAUUAUUGGGCGUAAAGGGUGCGUAGGCGGUCUAGUAAGUCAGUGGUGUAAUGGCAACGCUUAACGUUGUCCGGCUAUUGAAACUGCUAAACUUGAGUUAGAUAGAGGCGAGUGGAAUUCCAUGUGUAGCGGUAAAAUGCGUAAAUAUAUGGAGGAACACCAGAGGCGUAGGCGGCUCGCUGGGUCUUAACUGACGCUGAGGCACGAAAGCGUGGGGAGCAAACAGGAUUAGAUACCCUGGUAGUCCACGCCGUAAACGAUGAGUACUAAGUGUCGGGUUAAACCGGUACUGAAGUUAACACAUUAAGUACUCCGCCUGAGUAGUACGUACGCAAGUAUGAAACUUAAAGGAAUUGACGGGACUCCGCACAAGCGGUGGAUCAUGUUGUUUAAUUCGAAGAUACCCGAAAAACCUUACCAGGUCUUGACAUGUUUUUGCAAA